GUGUGAGUGGGGCAUAGACCAAAGAGGCAGGGGAGGGCAGAGACAGGCCCCUCUGCUCAGUGGUCAUCAGACCUUAUCUCGGUACAGCAUCUGGGUUUCAGCCUCCAACUGAAGGAAGUACAUUGAUAAAUCUGUCCAGGUUUGGCAAACAGCAAGAUGGUUCUGGGCUGGAGGCCUUGCUCUCUGCAGAAGGCUGCAGUGCAGUGCUGGUUCAGCCAGGAAAAGGGGUAUCAUUUUAUUCUACAAUUUCAUCUGAAAUGAAUAGCUUAAGAAGUUUAUACUUUGACACAUAUUAUACUUCAAGCUCUUGUAGUCUGUAAGCCACAAGUAUGAAGCUUGAACCUUUUUUAUUUACUUCCUUUAGAGAAUAUUUUCUAGGAAAAACCAGUGAGUUUCUAAAUUUCAGUCUGUUCCUAAAGUGUUACAAGAAGUUCACUAUAAAGAACGUUUUUCAAAUAAUUACACUUACUAAACUUCAGUACAAAAAUUCAAAUUACAUGUGCAAUUAUUGAUGCAGGAACAACGUAGUCAUUCUGAUUUUCCAGGAAGAAGAAAAUGUUAUUUUUUUUUCAUUGAGCAGCAACAAGAAAAGCACUCACUUUUUUGUUGGUCUCAGGAAGGAACACGACCCACAUACAUAGCAAUCAGAAACAAUAGCACGGCACAGAAGGGGCACAGACCCGUCUGGAGGGGAAUUUCACAAAUCUGGGGGCUGAGUGGUGUUUCCGUGGGACUGAUCCAGUUUGUGCUGGGGGAUCAAGCCGGCCCUUAGGAAGUAUUGAGCACAAAGGUUGCACGGUCGCUCAGUUCCUUUCCUCGCGUCUGGGACCUGAGCCAAGCACAGGCAAGCCCUGAGGAUGCGUGCCGCCUCCCUCCCUCCUCCCCACAGCAGCUGUGUGCUCCAGCACCCAAAUAAAUCUUAAUCACUCCAUGGUGGCUCUUUUGUUCAACUGUUUUUAAAUGCGGAGACCCAGUUGUGCAAUCAAGUUAACACGGGACCCGGAGCUUGAAUCUGCAUUGUUGUCGACUUUGUGCAGUAAUUAAAUGGGCAUGCCAAACGGCAGUCAAACAGCACUAAAGCCUGACCGACGUUUUGUCUGGCUUUUGUGUAUGGCCAAGUGAUUGUACAAGAGGCAAAACAGAAUAUAAUCCAGUCUCUGAAGAGGGCAGUCAUUUUGCAGCAAGAAUAGAUUAUUUGCUACAGCACAAGCUGCAGGUUUUGUCAUAUUGUUGUCAUUUCCAUUCUAGCUACAAUUAAUUAAAAUUCACUUCAUGCACCUAAAAAGUAGAGGCACAGACUCAGAUAUGUGCAUGAUUGUACCCAGCCAUAACAAACAACAUUAUGUGUAGCAUUGUGAUGAGUGGUAUUUUAAACAAUCCUUUCAGUGAAACAGCAACAACAACAACAAAAAAAAUUUGCAAAAAUGUUCACAACAUUUUGCCCUGUUUUCAACAAAUUCAUAAUAAAGUUAUUUGUUCUGGAUAAAGGGGGAAAUGGAACAUCACAGAUCACUAAAAAAAAUGCCAUGUAUUCUGAAUAUUUGUUAUGCAUGGAUCCUGCUUCAAAGUUGGAUGUAAUUUUCACUACAUUGAUGGAACAGCAUAAGAAUACAAUUUUCCAUGUCAAAGAUUCUAUACAUCUGACAGGUUUGUCUGGAGUCUGGAGUACUGACAUUCUUUAAAAGUCUGCUGAAAAUAUCGAAUCCUGGGAUUGAAACCUGUUUUCCUCAAAGAAGCAGUUUUACAGCCAUGGUAAUAGUCUGAAAGUAACAGUCUACUAAAUUCAGCAGGACACAAUUUGCAGAACAGUAAUCUCCAGGACCAGGAUAGCCUGAAUGGUAAUGGAAACAAAGAGAUUAUCAAGAUCUAUCAAUUAAAUUUUACAGUGAAAGGUUCCAGUUUCACUUAAUUACCUGGUGGCUUGUUGAGUGCUCUGUACAGGGUACAAGAAGAGGGAAAUUUCUAUCAUACGGUGAAGGCCUAUUGCAUAACAAUUUAAUCUUGAUUUGAUGGGCUUUGCCACAAUUACAUGAGCUUAAGAAACCUGUGAAGCUUUAAGGUCACAAUCCAAGACUGCCUCCACCCGGAGAGAAAUUUCUAUCUAACUUUAAGAAAACAGAAGUUUCUCUUUGCUUUUUACAGAGUGAGCAACUCAUUGCUAGCACAUAGUGUCUCACUGCCAUUCUACAGCAUGGGGGAUUCUGUUACUUGAAGUUAUGCAAAGAAAACGUACAUAUAUAUAAAGUGUUUAAAUAGUGUCAUUCUAAAGCUGAGUGGAAGUGGUCAUCUACAGUUUCAAAUACUUGA
Long non-coding RNA from Oxyura jamaicensis (ruddy duck), 2307 nucleotides. RefSeq lists it as uncharacterized. The record is from RefSeq and is a predicted model, not a curated record. The transcript is spliced from 3 exons. Lineage: Eukaryota; Metazoa; Chordata; Aves; Anseriformes; Anatidae.